UACGUAGGUGGCGAGCGUUAUCCGGAUUUAUUGGGCGUAAAGCGUCCGCAGCCGGUUUAUUAAGUCCAAGAUUAAAGCCCGAAGCUUAACUUCGGUUCGUUUUGGAAACUGGUAGACUUGAGUGUGGUAGAGGCAAGUGGAACUUCUAGUGUAGCGGUAAAAUGCGUAGAUAUUAGAAAGAACACCAGUGGCGAAGGCGACUUGCUGGGCCACCACUGACGGUCAGGGACGAAAGCGUGGGGAGCAAAUAGG
RNAcentral lists this ribosomal RNA (252 nucleotides) under uncultured bacterium. RNAcentral's name for it is "partial 16S ribosomal RNA". It matches the Rfam family "Bacterial small subunit ribosomal RNA", at positions 524 to 776 of the family's 1533-position model. The record is from RNAcentral.